This 851-nucleotide ribosomal RNA is filed under the name Winogradskyella sp. b40_27f. RNAcentral describes it as "bacterial SSU rRNA". It matches the Rfam family "Bacterial small subunit ribosomal RNA", at positions 73 to 926 of the family's 1533-position model. The record is from RNAcentral. Lineage: Bacteria; Pseudomonadati; Bacteroidota; Flavobacteriia; Flavobacteriales; Flavobacteriaceae.
AGCUUGCUCUUUUGCUGACGAGUGGCGCACGGGUGCGUAACGCGUAUACAACCUACCUUUUACAGUGGGAUAGCCUUUGGAAACGAAGAUUAAUACCGCAUAGUAUCUGGAUAUCGCAUGGUAUCCGGAUUAAAAUUUCGGUGGUAAAAGAUGGGUAUGCGUUCUAUUAGCUAGAUGGUGUGGUAACGGCACACCAUGGCGACGAUAGAUAGGGGCCCUGAGAGGGGGAUCCCCCACACUGGUACUGAGACACGGACCAGACUCCUACGGGAGGCAGCAGUGAGGAAUAUUGGACAAUGGGCGAUAGCCUGAUCCAGCCAUGCCGCGUGCAGGAAGACUGCCCUAUGGGUUGUAAACUGCUUUUGUACGGGAAGAAACCCAGCUACGUGUAGCUGGCUGACGGUACCGUAAGAAUAAGCAUCGGCUAACUCCGUGCCAGCAGCCGCGGUAAUACGGAGGAUGCAAGCGUUAUCCGGAAUCAUUGGGUUUAAAGGGUCCGUAGGUGGACGGUUAAGUCAGAGGUGAAAUCCUGCAGCUCAACUGUAGAACUGCCUUUGAUACUGGUCGUCUUGAAUUAUUGUGAAGUGGUUAGAAUAUGUAGUGUAGCGGUGAAAUGCAUAGAUAUUACAUAGAAUACCGAUUGCGAAGGCAGAUCACUAACAAUAUAUUGACACUGAUGGACGAAAGCGUGGGGAGCGAACAGGAUUAGAUACCCUGGUAGUCCACGCCGUAAACGAUGGUCACUAGCUGUUCGGACUUCGGUCUGAGUGGCUAAGCGAAAGUGAUAAGUGACCCACCUGGGGAGUACGUUCGCAAGANUGAAACUCAAAGGAAUUGACGGGGGCCCGCAC